RNAcentral lists this long non-coding RNA (154 nucleotides) under Monodelphis domestica (gray short-tailed opossum). RNAcentral describes it as "lncRNA (ENSMODG00000045401.1)". The record is from RNAcentral. Lineage: Eukaryota; Metazoa; Chordata; Mammalia; Didelphimorphia; Didelphidae.
GGUGUCUGGAGACUUGAAGUUUCUCCUUCUCAAAGAAGGUGACAGUGGAAUAAGAAACCACACUGAAACUCUAGGAUGAAACUUCCUUUAUACUCUUUAAUGAACCUUUGGGUAAAAUGGCAUUAAAGACAUAUUGAGUAUCACCAUACCUGAU